ACUAACAACUGUUCGAGGGGAUUCUUCACCGACAUCAAUUUCUUCAACAUAGAGUGAAUCUGCAUCUGGGUGCUUCUGAACUUUUUUGAUGAGGCCAACAGGUUCUAUUGACAAAGUUUUAUGUUGUGGUUUUAUUUGCCGAUAUGAAUGGGGUACUUGAAGAGUAUGAUUUAUCAAAUCUGUUAUUGUGAUUGUAGCAACUACAUUUCUCCAAAUUUCAGCUAUCAACCCUGUUUUACGUCUUCUACAGAAUGUUGGAAAAGGUUG
Long non-coding RNA from Zingiber officinale, 267 nucleotides. RefSeq lists it as uncharacterized. The transcript has 3 exons. Lineage: Eukaryota; Viridiplantae; Streptophyta; Magnoliopsida; Zingiberales; Zingiberaceae. The record is from RefSeq and is a predicted model, not a curated record.